AGUCACUGACAUUAGAUACCCCCGUAGUCCCAGCCGUAAACUAUGCUCGCUAGGUGUCAGGCAUGGCGCGACCGUGUCUGGUGCCGCAGGGAAGCCGUGAAGCGAGCCACCUGGGAAGUACGGCCGCAAGGCUGAAACUUAAAGGAAUUGGCGGGGAGCACAACAACGGGUGGAGCCUGCGGUUUAAUUGGACUCAACGCCGGACAACUCACCGGGGACGACAGCAAUAUGUAGGCCAGGCUGAAGACCUUGCCUGAAUCGCUG
Molecule: ribosomal RNA, 264 nt
Filed under: uncultured archaeon
Lineage: Archaea
Description: partial 16S ribosomal RNA
Rfam family: Archaeal small subunit ribosomal RNA
Source: RNAcentral